This 504-nucleotide ribosomal RNA is filed under the name uncultured bacterium. RNAcentral's name for it is "partial 16S ribosomal RNA". It matches the Rfam family "Bacterial small subunit ribosomal RNA", at positions 29 to 523 of the family's 1533-position model. The record is from RNAcentral.
AUUGAACGCUGGCGGCAGGCCUAACACAUGCAAGUCGAACGGUAGCACAGAGAGCUUGCUCUCGGGUGACGAGUGGCGGACGGGUGAGUAAUGUCUGGGAAACUGCCCGAUGGAGGGGGAUAACUACUGGAAACGGUAGCUAAUACCGCAUAACGUCGCAAGACCAAAGUGGGGGACCUUCGGGCCUCACACCAUCGGAUGUGCCCAGAUGGGAUUAGCUAGUAGGUGGGGGAAUGGCUCACCUAGGGGACGAUACCUAGCUGGCCUGAGAGGAUGACCAGCCACACUGGAACGGAGACACGGUCCAGACUCCUACGGGAGGCAGCAGUGGGGAAUAUUGCACAAGGGGCGCAAGCCUGAUGCAGCCAUGCCGCGUGUAUGAAGAAGGCCUUCGGGUUGUAAAGUACUUUCAGCGGGGAGGAAGGCGGUGAAGUUAAUAACUUCACCGAUUGACGUUACCCGCAGAAGAAGCACCGGCUAACUCCGUGCCAGCCGCCGCAGUAA